UCUCACUCUCUCAGAUAGGACUCUGAAGAAAAAAAAAUCUUCCGCCAUUGAAACUAGAGGAAACUAGCAUUUGCAAAUAUUAUGCAUGUGGACUGCACCAAAUAUCUAAGGCUCUGAGCUUUUUGGACAAUGACUGCAAGCUAGUGAAGAAUCCAUUCGAAGAAGAUUGGGUAGUUAGGAUUAAAAACUGUAUUGAUUUUGGCUUCGAGUUACAGACAAGGUACA
Molecule: long non-coding RNA, 225 nt
Organism: Papaver somniferum (opium poppy)
Lineage: Eukaryota; Viridiplantae; Streptophyta; Magnoliopsida; Ranunculales; Papaveraceae
Exons: 3
Source: RefSeq, a predicted model, not a curated record